This 490-nucleotide long non-coding RNA is filed under the name Pogona vitticeps (central bearded dragon). RNAcentral describes it as "lncRNA (ENSPVIG00000009806.1)". Lineage: Eukaryota; Metazoa; Chordata; Lepidosauria; Squamata; Agamidae. The record is from RNAcentral.
GGCGGCGAGCAACCCGGGGGGGCCGCCAAUAAUAGCCCGCGCCGAGGAUGCCCAAGAAGCCGAGGAGGUAAGCCAGGUUCGGCAAGAAAAAGAGACUUCAAAAGACCGCCAUGAGCGCUCCGGAUCUUGGUCGCCGCUCACCCGGGCGUGGAGAGCCAGCGAAACAGCCUCCGCCCGGCUGGGCUUCCCCCCCCUAAGCAGGAUUUCCCGAUCUCGCUUCUCGUCCUCCUCGGCUUCUUCGGGGCUUGGGCGCGUCUCUCUCACUCUGCCGUCCCGCUCCGGCGCUCCUUCCCGGCGGAAUCCCGAGUCGAAGUCCCCGAUCGCCGCCCUGCCCCAUGGCCGGGGUGGAGGAGACGCCGGCUCAUCGCCGAGCCGACCCGGGGGUGGUGGAUGGAGGGGCGCAAGAACAAGCCGGCGAUCCCCGAGCCGAGUGGGAACGUGGCAAACUCCCGGGAUCGCCCGGGCGUCAACACCGAGCAAGAGAAAAUAA